Molecule: long non-coding RNA, 661 nt
Organism: Armigeres subalbatus
Lineage: Eukaryota; Metazoa; Arthropoda; Insecta; Diptera; Culicidae
Exons: 3
Source: RefSeq, a predicted model, not a curated record
UCCAACUUCAUAACAAAACAAUAAUCGUAUAAUUUUGGUAGCCUUUCAUAUUCUUAAACUUUUGGCUCUUUAUGCUUUAUUUCUGAUUAACUUUGUGUUAAUUUUGAUUGUUUUUGCGUUAUUGGUACAAUGAGUCGCCUGAUCAGCUUUCGCCGUAGGUUGCACUUCUGGUCGCACGAAGCGAAUUGAGAACGAAAGCCCUGGUCCUGGACGUUGCGCGUGAUUUGUGUAUGAAAAGAGCAUAUUUUUUCCAGCUCUCGGAUUAGGGAAAUGAUGGUCAAAGCACAUACCAAAAGGCUGAGCGCCUACCGGCGUAAAUUGAAACGCAACACAACAAUUUUGAUAUAUUUCGACCGCCUCGACUAAACAAUAUGUGAGAGAAAACUUAUGGCGAAUUGAGGCUCCGUCACAUAUAGGGAAUAAUUUCCAAGAUGGCAGGACUUCGACACAUCUCAAUUACAGACAAGAAUCAAAAUGUGGCGGAGCAUCAUCACGGGCUGUGUGAAAACUUUUCUACUAUGCGGAUGGAAGUAAACCACAGAAGAAGGAAUGAUGAAAUCCACAGCAGCAAAGUCGAUAUGAAAAUCAUCAGCUUCGUCCUAUGCUAACAGCAUAUGGAAUGGAAUGUUCAAGAGGGAUCGGUGCAAUAAAUUGAAAGAAA